CCUGACGUCGAGCCUCGCGGACAACACCUGCGCACGGAGUUUUGUUCGUUCGGCUCGCGUUAAGC
This 65-nucleotide microRNA precursor is filed under the name Scleropages formosus (Asian bonytongue). RNAcentral describes it as "mir-375 microRNA precursor family". It matches the Rfam family "mir-375 microRNA precursor family". The record is from Rfam by way of RNAcentral. Lineage: Eukaryota; Metazoa; Chordata; Actinopteri; Osteoglossiformes; Osteoglossidae.